This 446-nucleotide ribosomal RNA is filed under the name uncultured bacterium. Its description in RNAcentral is "SSU rRNA". It matches the Rfam family "Bacterial small subunit ribosomal RNA", at positions 26 to 518 of the family's 1533-position model. The record is from RNAcentral.
AGAACGAACGCUGGCGGCAGGCCUAACACAUGCAAGUCGAACGCGACCUUCGGGUCGAGUGGCGCACGGGUGAGUAACGCGUGGGAAUCUGCCCUGUGGUACGGAAUAACAUCGGGAAACUGAUGCUAAUACCGUAUAUCCCCUGAGGGGGAAAGAUUUAUCGCCAUGGGAGGAGCCCGCGUAGGAUUAGCUAGUUGGUGAGGUAACGGCUCACCAAGGCGACGAUCCUUAGCUGGUCUGAGAGGAUGAUCAGCCACACUGGGACUGAGAUACGGCCCAGACUCCUACGGGAGGCAGCAGUGGGGAAUAUUGGACAAUGGGGGAAACCCUGAUCCAGCCAUGCCGCGUGUGUGAUGAAGGCCUUCGGGUUGUAAAGCACUUUCGCACGUGACGAUGAUGACGGUAACGUGAGAAGAAGCCCCGGCUAACUUCGUGCCAGCAGCCGC